RNAcentral lists this long non-coding RNA (246 nucleotides) under Mytilus galloprovincialis (Mediterranean mussel). Lineage: Eukaryota; Metazoa; Mollusca; Bivalvia; Mytilida; Mytilidae. The record is from RNAcentral.
CUUUCAUCUUUCAUUGAAUAAAGAUAAAUUAUGGUGUCAUAUUAUUUGAAAUCAAAUGUUGUUGAUAUAAAAUCCAAGCGAUUGAGGAUUACAGGUCUUAUAAGUUGAAUUUUAUGUAAAGAAAAGAAUUGCGUCCAUGAAAAUGGGAGUAAGCAUAUGGUUUUGUCUGUGUUUAUUGGCUCACUGCGUACCACUGACAUCGUGUAAGUAUAAUUAUUUAUCAUAUUGUAGUAUUCCCCCAUUCUA